This 442-nucleotide ribosomal RNA is filed under the name uncultured bacterium. RNAcentral's name for it is "partial 16S ribosomal RNA". It matches the Rfam family "Bacterial small subunit ribosomal RNA", at positions 338 to 795 of the family's 1533-position model. The record is from RNAcentral.
CCUACGGGAGGCAGCAGUAGGGAAUCUUUGACAAUGGGCGAAAGCCUGAUGGAGCAACGCCGCGUGCAGGAUGAAGGCCUUCGGGUUGUAAACUGCUUUUAUAAGCGAGAAAUAUGAUGGUAACUUAUGAAUAAGGAUCGGCGAACUACGUGCCAGCAGCCGCGGUCAUACGUAGGAUCUGAGCAUUAUCCGGAGGGACUGGGUGUAUAGAGGUGCGUAGGUGGCAUAAUAAGUAGCUAGUGGAAUCUGGUGGCUCAACCAUUCAGACUAUUAUCUAAACUGUUAAGCUUGAGACCCGUAGGGGUAACUGGAAUGUCUAGUGUAGGAGUGAAAGCCGUAGAUAUUAGGAAGAACACCGAUAGCGUAGGCAGGUUACUGGGCCGCUUCUGACGCUAAGGCACGAAAGCGUAGGGAGCAAACGGGAUUAGAUACCCUUGUAGUC